AGAGUUUGAUCCUGGCUCAGGAUGAACGCUAGCGGCGUGCUUUAGGUAUGCAAGUCGAACGGUCCCGCCUUUGGCGGGGCAGUGGCAGACGGGUGAGUAACGCGUAGGAACGUACCCUUUGGUGGGGAAUAGCCCGCCGAAAGGCGAGGUAAUACCGCAUAAUCUUUUCGAAGCAAAGCGAGUAACUUCGCGCCGAAGGAGCGGCCUGCGUCCUAUCAGCUUGUUGGUGAGGUAAUGGCUCACCAAGGCGACGACGGGUAGCUGGACUGAGAGGUCGGUCAGCCACAAUGGCACUGAAACACGGGCCAUACACCUACGGGUGGCAGCAACCGGGAAUAUUGCGCAAUGGAGGCAACUCUGACGCAGCGACGCCGCGUGAAGGAUGAAGGCUUUCGGGUCGUAAACUUCUUUUAGUUUUUCAUACGAGAGACAGAAUAAGCACCAGCAAACUACGUGCCAGCAGCGGCGGUAAUUCGUAGGGUGCAAGCGUUAUCCGGAUUUAUUGGGCGUAAA
This 513-nucleotide ribosomal RNA is filed under the name uncultured bacterium. RNAcentral's name for it is "bacterial SSU rRNA". It matches the Rfam family "Bacterial small subunit ribosomal RNA", at positions 8 to 564 of the family's 1533-position model. The record is from RNAcentral.